RNAcentral lists this ribosomal RNA (253 nucleotides) under uncultured bacterium. RNAcentral describes it as "partial 16S ribosomal RNA". It matches the Rfam family "Bacterial small subunit ribosomal RNA", at positions 524 to 776 of the family's 1533-position model. The record is from RNAcentral.
UACGGAGGGUGCAAGCGUUAUCCGGAUUCACUGGGUUUAAAGGGUGCGUAGGUGGACUUAUAAGUCAGUGGUGAAAGCUCCGAGCUUAACUUGGAAAUUGCCAUUGAUACUGUUAGUCUUGAGUUCGGUUGAGGUAGGCGGAAUAAGUCAUGUAGCGGUGAAAUGCUUAGAUAUGACAUAGAACACCGAUUGCGAAGGCAGCUUACCAAGCCGACACUGACACUGAGGCACGAAAGCGUGGGGAUCAAACAGG